UGGGUCCAACCUCCCACCCGUGUUUAUUUUACCUUGUUGCUUCGGCGGGCCCGCCUUAACUGGCCGCCGGGGGGCUUACGCCCCCGGGCCCGCGCCCGCCGAAGACACCCUCGAACUCUGUCUGAAGAUUGUAGUCUGAGUGAAAAUAUAAAUUAUUUAAAACUUUCAACAACGGAUCUCUUGGUUCCGGCAUCGAUGAAGAACGCAGCGAAAUGCGAUACGUAAUGUGAAUUGCAAAUUCAGUGAAUCAUCGAGUCUUUGAACGCACAUUGCGCCCCCUGGUAUUCCGGGGGGCAUGCCUGUCCGAGCGUCAUUUCUGCCCUCAAGCACGGCUUGUGUGUUGGGCCCCGUCCUCCGAUCCCGGGGGACGGGCCCGAAAGGCAGCGGCGGCACCGCGUCCGGUCCUCGAGCGUAUGGGGCUUUGUCACCCGCUCUGUAGGCCCGGCCGGCGCUUGCCGAUCAACCCAAAUUUUUAUCCAGGUUGACCUCGGAUCAGGUAGGGAUACCCGCUGAACUUAAGCAUAUCAAUAAGCAGAGGAA
Molecule: ribosomal RNA, 540 nt
Filed under: Penicillium chrysogenum
Lineage: Eukaryota; Fungi; Ascomycota; Eurotiomycetes; Eurotiales; Aspergillaceae
Description: eukaryotic LSU rRNA
Rfam family: 5.8S ribosomal RNA (bases 161-313)
Source: RNAcentral